CCUACGGGUGGCAGCAGUGAGGAAUAUUGGUCAAUGGGCGCUAGCCUGAACCAGCCAAGUAGCGUGAGGGAUGACUGCCCUAUGGAUUGUAAACUUCUUUUGUCGGGGAGUAAGGUGCGCUAUGUAUACUGCGUUGCAUGUACCUUGUAGAUAAGGCUCGGCUAACUCCGUUCCAGCAGCCGCGGUAAUACGGAGGAUGCGAGCGGUAUCCGGAUUUAUUGGGUUUAAAGGGUGCGUAGGCGGGAGGUUAAGUCAGCGGUAAAAAGUCGGGGCUCAAACCCGGCCGGCCGUUGAAACUGGGCGUCUUGAGUGGGCGAGAAGUAUGCGGAAUGCGUGGUGUAGCGGUGAAAUGCAUAGAUAUCACGCAGAACCCCGAUUGCGAAGGCAGCAUUCCGGCGCUCAACUGACGCUGAGGCACGAAAGCGUGGGGAUCGAACAGGAUUAGAUACCCUUGUAGUC
This 459-nucleotide ribosomal RNA is filed under the name uncultured bacterium. RNAcentral describes it as "partial 16S ribosomal RNA". It matches the Rfam family "Bacterial small subunit ribosomal RNA", at positions 338 to 795 of the family's 1533-position model. The record is from RNAcentral.